Molecule: ribosomal RNA, 769 nt
Filed under: uncultured Comamonadaceae bacterium
Lineage: Bacteria; Pseudomonadati; Pseudomonadota; Betaproteobacteria; Burkholderiales; Comamonadaceae
Description: bacterial SSU rRNA
Rfam family: Bacterial small subunit ribosomal RNA
Source: RNAcentral
GUCGAACGGUAACAGGCCGCAAGGUGCUGACCAGUGGCGAACGGGUGAGUAAUGCAUCCGAACGUGCCCAGUCCUGGGGGAUAACGCAGCGAAAGCUGCGCUAAUACCGCAUACCAUCUAUGGAUGAAAGCGGGGGACCGUAAGGCCUCCCGCGAUUGGAGCGGCCGAUGUCAGAUUAGGUAGUUGGUGGGGUAAAGGCUCACCAAGCCAACGAUCUGUAGCUGGUCUGAGAGGACGACCAGCCCCCCUGGAACUGAGACACGGUCCAGACUCCUACGGGAGGCAGCAGUGGGGAAUUUUGGACAAUGGGCGCCAGCCUGAUCCAGCAAUGCCGCGUGCAGGAAGAAGGCCUUCGGGUUGUAAACUGCUUUUGUACGGAACGAAACGGUCUGAGUUAAUACCUCGGGCUAAUGACGGUACCGUAAGAAUAAGCACCGGCUAACUACGUGCCAGCAGCCGCGGUAAUACGUAGGGUGCAAGCGUUAAUCGGAAUUACUGGGCGUAAAGCGUGCGCAGGCGGUGAUGUAAGACAGUCGUGAAAUCCCCGGGCUCAACCUGGGAAUUGCGAUUGUGACUGCAUCGCUGGAGUGCGGCAGAGGGGGAUGGAAUUCCGCGUGUAGCAGUGAAAUGCGUAGAUAUGCGGAGGAACACCGAUGGCGAAGGCAAUCCCCUGGGCCUGCACUGACGCUCAUGCACGAAAGCGUGGGGAGCAAACAGGAUUAGAUACCCUGGUAGUCCACGCCCUAAACGAUGUCAACUGGUUGUUGGG